GACCAAGACUCAGGUCUCCAGUUUAAAGCCACAACCUGCUUGGUAAUUCUUUAGGGUCUAAGAUGUUUGGGGGAGGGAGGGGUGCUGAGAUGUGGAAUUGUUUGAGAUGGUCAUACCAUGGGAUCAUUUAGCUGAAUUGUAGGACCCCUUUAGGUACAGAGUCUCCCCUUUCCAUUUCAGUAGGUCAAACUGUUCGGAGAACAGAGUCUCCCCUUUCCAUUUCAGUAGGUCAAACUGUUCGGAGAACAGAGUCUCCCCUUUCCAUUUCAGUAGGUCAAACUGUUCGGAGAACAGAGUCUCCCCUUUCCAUUUCAGUAGGUCAAAGUGUUCGGAGAACAGAGUCUCCCCUUUCCAUUUCAGUAGGUCAAACUGUUCGGAGAACAGAGUCUCCCCUUUCCAUUUCAGUAGGUCAAACUGUUCGGAGAACACAGAGUCUCCCCUUUCCAUUUCAGUAGGUCAAACUCUUGAGAUGUGUUCCUCAGAGUCUCCCCUUUAUAGAGUAGUUUUUUUUGUCGGUCAAACUGUUCGGACGCUACAGAAGUUUUCGUGUGAAGACCGAUUUUCGGGACGUCUCAGACUGCUCUAACUCUUGUCACCUUUCACUGACGAUGUGGAAGAGAGAUACUGGCAGAUGUUGUGGAUUGAGAAGCAAACAAACAGAUAUCUCUAGUUUAAACAAAGAUUCUGAUCCAACACAAACAAACAGAUAUCUCUAAUUUAAACAAAGAUUCUGAUCCAACACAAACAAACAGAUAUCUCUAGUUUAAACAAAGAU
Long non-coding RNA from Oncorhynchus keta (chum salmon), 775 nucleotides. RefSeq lists it as uncharacterized. The transcript has 4 exons. The record is from RefSeq and is a predicted model, not a curated record. Lineage: Eukaryota; Metazoa; Chordata; Actinopteri; Salmoniformes; Salmonidae.